GGACGAACGCUGGCGGCGUGCUUAGCACAUGCAAGUCGAACGGAAAGGCCCUGCGUUUGUGGGGUGCUCGAGGGGCUAACGGGUGAGUAACACGUGAGUAACCUGCCCUUGACUUUGGGAUAACUUCAGGAAACUGGGGCUAAUACCGGAUAGGAGCUCCUGGUGCAUGGGGGGGGUUGGAAAGUUUCGUCGGUUGGGGGUGGACUCGCGGCUUAUCAGCUUGGUGGUGGGGUAGUGGCUUACCAAGGCUUUGACGGGUAGCCGGCCUGAGAGGGUGACCGGCCACAUUGGGACUCAGAUACGACUCAGACUCCUGCGGGAGGCAGCAGUGCGGAAUAUUGGUCACUGGGACGAAGCCUGAUGCAGCACCUCCGCGUGCGGGAUGACGGCCUAAGGGUUGUAAACCGCUUCCGCAUGUGACGCAGCGUGAGUGACGGUAAUGUGUAAAGAAGCACCGGCUAACUACGUG
This 469-nucleotide ribosomal RNA is filed under the name uncultured bacterium. RNAcentral's name for it is "partial 16S ribosomal RNA". It matches the Rfam family "Bacterial small subunit ribosomal RNA", at positions 27 to 507 of the family's 1533-position model. The record is from RNAcentral.